AUAAGCAUUGAGACCUUGCCCGGCAAACACCUGCUCCGGGGGGCCCAGCAGAGGGGGCCCAGGAGAGACGGAGCCCCCUGCUUCAUGACGGCUCUCACCGAACCUGGACCUCGCGGACUCCGCUAGAUGAGAUGGCCGGGGUGCUUGUGUCUCUGCUCCUCCAGGGCUGGGAUUUACAGACGUGUGCCACCACGCUGGGCUGCAGAUGUGGCUACUGGGGAUCAAACUCAGUUCUGGAUUCUGGGAAAUCCUAGUUGGCUCUACAUCUGGCAGGGGCCUGGCCUUCGCUUCUAAAACCAAGCCUUAACUGCUGCAUGCUCUGGAACAGAAGAAAUGGACCCAACUCCCUCUCAAGCCGUAAUCCCACCAUGAGAUCACUUCCUUCCAGACUUAGUCUCCUCCACCAGCCCCAUCUCUUCCUCCUGUCAUGUGCCAAGCAGCUUCCACACAUGAAUUUGGGGGGGGAAGAGUCAGGUCACAGCACUGUGUUCAGAUGACCUGUUGGGAUGGCAAACUGAACCCACUAAUAAAUUUGUG
This is a long non-coding RNA of Nannospalax galili (Upper Galilee mountains blind mole rat), 537 nucleotides long. RefSeq lists it as uncharacterized. NCBI's taxonomy places the organism in Eukaryota, Metazoa, Chordata, Mammalia, Rodentia, Spalacidae. The transcript has 3 exons. The record is from RefSeq and is a predicted model, not a curated record.